GUGACCUCAAAUCAGGUAGGACUACCCGCUGAACUUAAGCAUAUCAAUAAGCGGAGGAAAAGAAACUAACAAGGAUUCCCCUAGUAACUGCGAGUGAAGCGGGAAAAGCUCAAAUUUAAAAUCCGGCGGCCUUUUUGGCUGUCCGAGUUGUAAUCUAGAGAAGUGUUAUCCGCGCUGGACCGUGUACAAGUCUCCUGGAAUGGAGCAUCAUAGAGGGUGAGAAUCCCGUCUUUGACAUGGACUGCCAGGCUUUGUGAUGCGCUCUCAAAGAGUCGAGUUGUUUGGGAAUGCAGCUCAAAAUGGGUGGUAAAUUCCAUCUAAAGCUAAAUAUUGGCGAGAGACCGAUAGCGAACAAGUACCGUGAGGGAAGAG
This 372-nucleotide ribosomal RNA is filed under the name uncultured Cortinarius. RNAcentral's name for it is "eukaryotic LSU rRNA". It matches the Rfam family "Eukaryotic large subunit ribosomal RNA", at positions 1 to 364 of the family's 3401-position model. Lineage: Eukaryota; Fungi; Basidiomycota; Agaricomycetes; Agaricales; Cortinariaceae. The record is from RNAcentral.